RNAcentral lists this ribosomal RNA (434 nucleotides) under uncultured bacterium. RNAcentral's name for it is "bacterial SSU rRNA". It matches the Rfam family "Bacterial small subunit ribosomal RNA", at positions 43 to 524 of the family's 1533-position model. The record is from RNAcentral.
CAGGCCAACACAUGCAAGUCGAACGAGACCUUCGGGUCUAGUGGCGCACGGGUGCGUAACGCGUGGGAAUCUGCCCUGGGGUCUGGGAUAACCGUUGGAAACGACUGCUAAUACCGGAUGACGACGAAAGUCCAAAGAUUUAUCGCCGAGGGAUGAGCCCGCGUAGGAUUAGCUAGUUGGUGUGGUAAAGGCGCACCAAGGCGACGAUCCUUAGCUGGUCUGAGAGGAUGAUCAGCCACACUGGGACUGAGACACGGCCCAGACUCCUACGGGAGGCAGCAGUGGGGAAUAUUGGACAAUGGGCGAAAGCCUGAUCCAGCAAUGCCGCGUGAGUGAUGAAGGCCUUAGGGUUGUAAAGCUCUUUUACCCGGGAUGAUAAUGACAGUACCGGGAGAAUAAGCCCCGGCUAACUCCGUGCCAGCAGCCGCGGUAAU